RNAcentral lists this ribosomal RNA (400 nucleotides) under uncultured bacterium. Its description in RNAcentral is "bacterial SSU rRNA". It matches the Rfam family "Bacterial small subunit ribosomal RNA", at positions 32 to 426 of the family's 1533-position model. The record is from RNAcentral.
AAUCAACGCUGGCGGCGUGCCUCAGACAUGCAAGUCGAACGAUUAAAGCUCUCUUCGGAGAGUGCAUAAAGUGGCGCACGGGUGAGUAACACGUAAGUAAUCUACCUUCGAGUGGGAAUAACGUCCGGAAACGGACGCUAAUACCGCAUAAUGCAGCGGCAUCGCAAGAUGACAGUUGUUAAAGAUUUAUCGCUUGAAGAGGAGCUUGCGGCAGAUAGCUAGUUGGUAAGGUAAUGGCUUACCAAGGCUACGAUCUGUAACCGGUCUAAGAGGACGGUCGGUCACACUGACACUGAAUAACGGGUCAGACUCCUACGGGAGGCAGCAGUCGGGAAUUUUGGGCAAUGGGCGAAAGCCUGACCCAGCAACGCCGCGUGAAGGAUGAAGUAUUUCGGUAUGU